This 474-nucleotide ribosomal RNA is filed under the name uncultured bacterium. RNAcentral describes it as "bacterial SSU rRNA". It matches the Rfam family "Bacterial small subunit ribosomal RNA", at positions 335 to 799 of the family's 1533-position model. The record is from RNAcentral.
ACUCCUACGGGAGGCAGCAGUGGGGAAUUUUGGACAAUGGGCGCAAGCCUGAUCCAGCAAUGCCGCGUGCAGGAAGAAGGCCUUCGGGUUGUAAACUGCUUUUGUCAGGGAAGAAAUCCUCUGGGUUAAUACCGUCGGGGGGAGUGACGGUACCUGAAGAAUAAGCACCGGCUAACUACGUGCCAGCAGCCGCGGUAAUACGUAGGGUGCGAGCGUUAAUCGGAAUUACUGGGCGUAAAGCGUGCGCAGGCGGUUGUGCAAGACAGGUGUGAAAUCACCGGGCUUAACCUGGGAACUGCACUUGUGACUGCACGGCUAGAGUACGGUAGAGGGGAUGGAAUUCCGCGUGUAGCAGUGAAAUGCGUAGAUAUGCGGAGGAACACCGAUGGCGAAGGCAAUCCCCUGGACCUGUACUGACGCUCAUGCACGAAAGCGUGGGAGCAAACAGGAUUAGAUACCCCUGGUAGGAUAGCG